UGUAGACACACCUUCAUUUCAGUGAUCUCCACCCCAAACGAAUGGCUGGCUGGGACAUGUGUUGCCUUAUGUUCAAGGAGAGAAAAAUCAGUAGAGACGGCUGGAUACGCUUGCAUCGCUGGCCUUGGACAAUCAUGCAGUCAUGCAGCCUCAAUUUUGUGGAAGUCUCUCUUUUUCUCAUCCUCCUGGUCCUUGUACCCGCUCACCUGACCACCCUGCGUGUCCCUGACCCUGCCUGCCGUCCUGUGCCUUGGUCACUACUCUGGAUUACCGACCUC
This is a long non-coding RNA of Oncorhynchus keta (chum salmon), 278 nucleotides long. RefSeq lists it as uncharacterized. The transcript has 3 exons. The record is from RefSeq and is a predicted model, not a curated record. NCBI's taxonomy places the organism in Eukaryota, Metazoa, Chordata, Actinopteri, Salmoniformes, Salmonidae.